This 449-nucleotide ribosomal RNA is filed under the name uncultured bacterium. RNAcentral describes it as "partial 16S ribosomal RNA". It matches the Rfam family "Bacterial small subunit ribosomal RNA", at positions 29 to 523 of the family's 1533-position model. The record is from RNAcentral.
AGCGAACGCUGGCGGCAGGCCUAACACAUGCAAGUCGAACGAACCCUUCGGGGUUAGUGGCGGACGGGUGAGUAACACGUGGGAACGUGCCUUUAGGUUCGGGAUAACUCAGGGACACUUGUGCUAAUACCGAAUGUGCCCUUCGGGGGAAAGAUUUAUCGCCUUUAGAGCGGCCCGCGUCUGAUUAGCUAGUUGGUGAGGUAAUGGCUCACCAAGGCUACGAUCAGUAGCUGGUCUGAGAGGAUGACCAGCCACAUUGGGACUGAGACACGGCCCAAACUCCUACGGGAGGCAGCAGUGGGGAAUCUUGCGCAAUGGGCGAAAGCCUGACGCAGCCAUGCCGCGUGGAUGAUGAAGGUCUUAGGAUUGUAAAAUCCUUUCACCGGUGAAGAUAAUGACUGUAGCCGGAGAAGAAGCCCCGGCUAACUUCGUGCCAGCAGCCGCCGUAA